GAUGAACGCUGGCGGCGUGCCUAAUACAUGCAAGUCGAGCGAACAGACGAGGAGCUUGCUCCUCUGACGUUAGCGGCGGACGGGUGAGUAACACGUGGAUAACCUACCUAUAAGACUGGGAUAACUUCGGGAAACCGGAGCUAAUACCGGAUAAUAUAUUGAACCGCAUGGUUCAAUAGUGAAAGACGGUUUUGCUGUCACUUAUAGAUGGAUCCGCGCCGCAUUAGCUAGUUGGUAAGGUAACGGCUUACCAAGGCAACGAUGCGUAGCCGACCUGAGAGGGUUAUCGGCCACACUGGAACUGAGACACGGUCCAGACUCCUACGGGAGGCAGCAGUAGGGAAUCUUCCGCAAUGGGCGAAAGCCUGACGGAGCAACGCCGCGUGAGUGAUGAAGGUCUUCGGAUCGUAAAACUCUGUUAUUAGGGAAGAACAAAUGUGUAAGUAACUAUGCACGUCUUGACGGUACCUAAUCAGAAAGCCACGGCUAACUACGUG
This 497-nucleotide ribosomal RNA is filed under the name uncultured bacterium. RNAcentral describes it as "partial 16S ribosomal RNA". It matches the Rfam family "Bacterial small subunit ribosomal RNA", at positions 28 to 507 of the family's 1533-position model. The record is from RNAcentral.